This 389-nucleotide ribosomal RNA is filed under the name uncultured bacterium. RNAcentral describes it as "bacterial SSU rRNA". It matches the Rfam family "Bacterial small subunit ribosomal RNA", at positions 28 to 422 of the family's 1533-position model. The record is from RNAcentral.
GACGAACGCUGGCGGCGUGCUUAACACAUGCAAGUCGAGCGGUAAGGCCCUUCGGGUACGACGAGCGGCGAACGGGUGAGUAACACGUGGGUGACCUGCCUCUAGCUCUGGGAUAAGCCUGGGAAACUGGGUCUAAUACCGGAUAUGACUCCACGGCGCAUGUUGUGGGGUGGAAAGCCUUGUGUGGCUAGAGAUGGGCCCGCGGCCUAUCAGCUUGUUGGUGGGGUGAUGGCCACCAAGGCGACGACGGUAGCCGGCCUGAGAGGGCGACCGGCCACACUGGGACUGAGACACGGCCCAGACUCCUACGGGAGGCAGCAGUGGGGAAUCUUGCGCAAUGGGCGAAAGCCUGACGCAGCGACGCCGCGUGAGGGAUGACGGCCUGGUGU